Molecule: long non-coding RNA, 353 nt
Filed under: Homo sapiens (human)
Lineage: Eukaryota; Metazoa; Chordata; Mammalia; Primates; Hominidae
Description: HSALNT0054011
Source: RNAcentral
UACGGAGCUGUUUCCUCCAAAUUCCUCCCUCUCUGUGAUCUCCCUGGUCCUUUCCUGAUCGCUGGGCUCCCUUUUUCGGGCCUCUGGCCAAAAACUUGGUGUUGUAGUUACCCUGCUCUGCCGUGCACUUCCUACAACUGCACCCACAGUCGCGGCCAAGCAGCGAAGAUUUAAGAAAGAGGAAAAGAAGUUCUCUUAUACAAUUAAGGGGGCGUUGAAUGUGCCAGGAUGUAAAUCAGCAUCUUGCGAAGUUUUGUUUGCAACAUGUAUAAUGAAAACUGGAGACUAAGAACAGAAACUUUACAACGAAGUAGAUUCUACAAAGCAGCCUAAGUGUAAAGCUUCAGCCUGGA